UUCUGGCUCAGAUUGAACGCUGGCGGCAGGCCUAACACAUGCAAGUCGAACGGUAACAGGAAGAAGCUUGCUCUUGCUGACGAGUGGCGGACGGGUGAGUAAUGUCUGGGAAACUGCCUGAUGAGGGGGAUAACUACUGGAAACGGUAGCUAAUACCGCAUAACGUCGCAAGACCAAAGAGGGGGACCUUCGGGCCUCUUGCCAUCGGAUGUGCCCAGAUGGGAUUAGCUAGUAGGUGGGGUAACGGCUCACCUAGGCGACGAUCCCUAGCUGGUCUGAGAGGAUGGCCAGCCACACUGGAACUGAGACACGGUCCAGACUCCUACGGGAGGCAGCAGUGGGGAAUAUUGCACAAUGGGCGCAAGCCUGAUGCAGCCGUGCCGCGUGUAAUGAAGAAGGCCUUCGGGUCGUAAAGUACUUUCAGCGGGGAGGAAGGGAGUAAAGUUAAUACCUUUGCUCAUUGACGUUACCCGCAGAAGAAGCACCGGCUAACUCCGUGCCAGCAGCUGC
This 510-nucleotide ribosomal RNA is filed under the name uncultured bacterium. RNAcentral describes it as "bacterial SSU rRNA". It matches the Rfam family "Bacterial small subunit ribosomal RNA", at positions 17 to 518 of the family's 1533-position model. The record is from RNAcentral.